AACGAACGCUGGCGGCAUGCCUAACACAUGCAAGUCGAACGAGACCUUCGGGUCUAGUGGCGCACGGGUGCGUAACGCGUGGGAACCUGCCCUUAGGUUCGGAAUAACUCCCCGAAAGGGGUGCUAAUACCGGAUAAUGUCUUCGGACCAAAGAUUUAUCGCCCUUGGAUGGGCCCGCGUUGGAUUAGCUAGUUGGUAGGGUAAAAGCCUACCAAGGCGACGAUCCAUAGCUGGUCUGAGAGGAUGAUCAGCCACACUGGGACUGAGACACGGCCCAGACUCCUACGGGAGGCAGCAGUGGGGAAUAUUGGACAAUGGGCUAAAGCCUGAUCCAGCAAUGCCGCGUGAGUGAUGAAGGCCUUAGGGUUGUAAAGCUCUUUUACCCGGGAUGAUAAUGACAGUACCGGGAGAAUAAGCUCCGGCUAACUCCGUG
This 433-nucleotide ribosomal RNA is filed under the name uncultured bacterium. RNAcentral's name for it is "partial 16S ribosomal RNA". It matches the Rfam family "Bacterial small subunit ribosomal RNA", at positions 29 to 507 of the family's 1533-position model. The record is from RNAcentral.